RNAcentral lists this unclassified non-coding RNA (374 nucleotides) under uncultured fungus. RNAcentral describes it as "partial contains 5.8S ribosomal RNA, internal transcribed spacer 2, and large subunit ribosomal RNA". RNAcentral also lists the same sequence under 1 other name. The record is from RNAcentral. Lineage: Eukaryota; Fungi.
AACGCACCUUGCGCUCUAUGGCAAUCCGUAGAGCAUGCCUGUUUGAGUGCCAUGAAAUCUCCCACCCCAAGCGGUUUUUGAAUGAAACGGCUUGGCGGAUGGGGUCUGGAUGGGUGCCUCUGCCUGUGCUAACCUUUUAGCCCACAGGCUCGCCCGAAAUGCAUGAGCGCCUUGGGACACUUUGCAUCCGCCUCUCUUGUGGGAGGAGGCGGCCAAGCAGUGUUUUUCUCCAGGCAUGGCAUGAUACGUCAUUUGCUAUGUCGCCCAAUGGAGGAAUGUUUGGUUGUGUCUGCGUGUGCUUCGAACUUGCCUCUGUGCAAAAAUCCCCUUUCACUUCUGGUCUCAAAUCAGGUAGGAUCACCCGCUGAACUUAA